AGAAAGGCCAGCAGCGACGACACAGCAGGAGUCUUAGUGGCCGAAGGGCUCCCACUUCCGACUCAGCACGACAACCGGAGCUUACGUCAUGACCAGGCGCCAGGCCCGCGGAGUCUCACCCGGGCGCCGGAAGCAGGGGGUGCCGCCCUGCGCCGGGAACUGGCGCGCAAACACCUCAACGGCGCCUGCGCCUGCCGGGGUCACGCCUUUUUGAAGCCGCUUGUGUUACUCUUCAUAGAUUAUUAUCAAUGAGGCAACAACUACAGCAAUAACAACAAUAACAAUAAUAAAGAUUUGAGCUCUUA
This is a long non-coding RNA of Suricata suricatta (meerkat), 305 nucleotides long. RefSeq lists it as uncharacterized. The transcript is spliced from 2 exons. Lineage: Eukaryota; Metazoa; Chordata; Mammalia; Carnivora; Herpestidae. The record is from RefSeq and is a predicted model, not a curated record.